Molecule: ribosomal RNA, 301 nt
Filed under: uncultured bacterium
Lineage: Bacteria
Description: partial 16S ribosomal RNA
Rfam family: Bacterial small subunit ribosomal RNA
Source: RNAcentral
CAGUCGCCGCGGUAAUACAGAGGGUGCGAGCGUUAAUCGGAUUUACUGGGCGUAAAGCGUGCGUAGGCGGCUUUUUAAGUCGGAUGUGAAAUCCCUGAGCUUAACUUAGGAAUUGCAUUCGAUACUGGGAAGCUAGAGUAUGGGAGAGGGUGGUGGAAUUUCCUGUGUAGCGGUGAAAUGCGUAGAUAUAGGAAGGAACAUCAGUGGCGAAGGCGACCACCUGGACUGAUACUGACACUGAGGUGCGAAAGCGUGGGGAGCAAACAGGAUUAGAUACCCCUGUAGUCCCUGUCUCUUAUAU